GUGGGGAAUAUUGGACAAUGGGCGAAAGCCUGAUCCAGCCAUGCCGCGUGUGUGAAGAAGGUCUUCGGAUUGUAAAGCACUUUAAGUUGGGAGGAAGGGCAGUAAGUUAAUACCUUGCUGUUUUGACGUUACCGACAGAAUAAGCACCGGCUAACUUCGUGCCAGCAGCCGCGGUAAUACGAAGGGUGCAAGCGUUAAUCGGAAUUACUGGGCGUAAAGCGCGCGUAGGUGGUUCAGCAAGUUGGAGGUGAAAUCCCCGGGCUCAACCUGGGAACUGCCUCCAAAACUACUGAGCUAGAGUACAGUAGAGGGUAGUGGAAUUUCCUGUGUAGCGGUGAAAUGCGUAGAUAUAGGAAGGAACACCAGUGGCGAAGGCGACUACCUGGACUGAUACUGACACUGAGGUGCGAAAGCGUGGGGAGCAAACAGGAUUAGAAACCCCAGUAGUCC
This 450-nucleotide ribosomal RNA is filed under the name uncultured bacterium. RNAcentral's name for it is "bacterial SSU rRNA". It matches the Rfam family "Bacterial small subunit ribosomal RNA", at positions 354 to 796 of the family's 1533-position model. The record is from RNAcentral.